This 1873-nucleotide ribosomal RNA is filed under the name Sphaeromopsis serriguberna. RNAcentral describes it as "partial 18S ribosomal RNA". It matches the Rfam family "Eukaryotic small subunit ribosomal RNA", at positions 1 to 1411 of the family's 1831-position model. The record is from RNAcentral. Lineage: Eukaryota; Metazoa; Arthropoda; Malacostraca; Isopoda; Sphaeromatidae.
UUUACCUGGUUUGUCCUGCCAGUAGUCAUAUGCUUGUCUCAAAGAUUAAGCCAUGCAUGUCUAAGUACGAGCCUUCCUUAGGGUGAAACCGCAAACGGCUCAUUAAAUCAGUCAUAAUUAAUUGGAUGGCGGUUAUCCCCUUACUCGGAUAACUGUGGCAAUUCUAGAGCUAAUACGUGCGAUUGAGCUCCGACCCCGGGGGAGGAACUUUUAAUUUUUUAAUCGCUUUCUCCGCUCGGGGGAAGGGCGCAGUUAUUAGAAUCAUAAACCGAGGCGGACUCCCGAGUCCGCGGAUGCACUUGGUUAUGGUGACUCUGGAUAACGUUGCCAAGCGCUCAGGCCUCAGAGCCGGCGCUGCAUCUUUUCGAGUGACUGCCCUAUCAGCUUUCGAUCGUAGGAUAUAGGCUUACGAUGGCUGUUACGGGUAACGGGGAAUCAGGGUUCGAUUCCGGAGAGGGAGCCUGAGAAACGGCUACCACAUCUAAGGAAGGCAGCAGGCACGCAAAUUACCCAAUCCCAGUUCGGGGAGGUAGUGACGAAAAAUACCGAUGCGGGACUCAUCCGAGGCCUCGCAAUCGGAAUGAGUCUCCUUUAAAAAAGGGAGCGAGGAUCUAUCGGAGGGCAAGUCUGGUGCCAGCAGCCGCGGUAAUUCCAGCUCCUAUAGCGUAUAUUAAAGUUGCUGCGGUUAAAAAGCUCGUAGUUGGAAUUUCGGUCUGUUCCGGAGGCCCACCUAGGACGCGACCGCGCCUCGUUCAUUCGCCCCNNUUCNUCNCUUCCAGUNGACUACNNGCCNUUUUCCANNGACGAGCUAUUCCUACACGACAGCUUCUCACANCUACCAAAUUGAAAANACNUNAGCGUCUGGGGUUCCNUNGNACGAUCGCGGCNGAGGCGGCGUCUGUUCAUUUUNCCGUANUUCGAAAANAGGNGGNGGAUNAACAUGGGCGAUCGCGGCGGNGGCGGCGUUUUAGGUUUUCGCGCCCGGUGGUGGAUAAACCUUUCCGGUUACAGACUCGGUAUGUAAAACGAUUCGUUGGCGCAUACGGGGUGCUCUUUACCGAGUGUCUCGCGUGGCCGACGACGAUCACUUUGAACAAAGUAAAGUGCUCAAAGCAGGCAGUAACUUUAACACGCUUGAAUAGAAAUGCAUUGAAUGAUGGAAUAAGACCUCGGUCCCGAUAUUUGUUUUUUAUUUUUUUCUCGGUUUUUCCGGGACCCGAGGUAAUGAUUAACGGAGGCGGACGGGGGCAUUAGUAUUGCGGCGCGAGGGGUGAAAUCCAGUGACCGUCGCAAGACUACCUACUGCGAAAGCAUUUGCCAAGAACGCUUUCAUUAAUCAAGAACGAAAGUUAGAGGAUCGAAGGCGAUCAGAUACCGCCCUAGUUCUAACCAUAAACUAUGCCAACUAGCGAUACGCGUACAGUCAUUCCCAAGACUGCGCGGGAAGCUCCCGGGAAACCAAAGUCUUUGGGUUCCGGGGGUAGUAUGGUUGCAAAGCUGAAACUUAAAGGAAUUGACGGAAGGGCACCACCAGGAGUGGAGCCUGCGGCUUAAUUUGACUCAACACGGGAAACCUCACCAGGCCCGGACACCGGAAGGAUUGACAGAUUGAGAGCUCUUUCUCGAUUCGGUGGUUGGUGGUGCAUGGCCGUUCUUAGUUGGUGGAGCGAUUUGUCUGGUUAAUUCCGAUAACGAACAAGACUCUGNCCUACUAACUAGUCGGCGGAUCGUUUCCCGAGGCGGGGCUUUUACCCGAGGUGNGCGGUCGUCAGGGCGUCNCGNUCGCUUUCCCGGUUCGUUCCNCGUCNAGGUUCACCUUUUAUUCGNGCGGCGUCGUCNUCGUCNUCNUNUUNUGACGACGGAGGAGNCGUCU